This 689-nucleotide long non-coding RNA is filed under the name Arabidopsis lyrata. Its description in RNAcentral is "long non-coding RNA (ALYR_LNC000019)". Lineage: Eukaryota; Viridiplantae; Streptophyta; Magnoliopsida; Brassicales; Brassicaceae. The record is from RNAcentral.
CAUACUAACAAAAUGUCGAUUUUAUCCUUACCACAUGGUAGUUAGAAAAAAAAGUAAAUCAAAUGUCGAUGCUGACUUUGUAAGUUCCGAUGAUGAAAAUAUCUCUCCAACGUGAAUCAAACCGAUGAAUCGAUCAUGGAUUAGAGUUAAGAUUGUUUAACAGAGUUUGGUCUGUUCGUUAUGAAUAUUAGUGGAAAGAAGAUCAGAGUUAUUUGUUGAAAAAAAGAAGAAGAUCGGAGCUGUCACCGGCAGUUACAAUCGCGAUUUUUCCAAGAUCUGCAAUUCGAGCCCUUGGGUUUACUAGAUACUAUCCCUUAGGGUUUAGUUUUGUUUAUUCAAAACACAAUUAAUUCUUGAAUCAUCGGAGCUCCGAGAUGGUGUUGUUGGUGGAGACGUUUGGUGUUUGGCGAUGGUGUUAAUGAAAUUAAAGGUAAUGAAUUUAACGGAGAUAGUGUUGUUAGAACACGACGGUGACGAGUGAUGAUUGUUGUCGGAAAUUCAGGUGAUCACGUCGGAGAAGAAACGAAUAACGAUGGAUGUGGUUGGGAGAAGAAGAAGAAAGAGAUACAGAGGACAUGGAUAAAACAGUCUUUUUCACUAGGUCAAAAAUACCCAAAUUGAAAAGCUAGGUAAUAGUGACCCAAAUUGAAAGUUUUGGCCCAACAAAGCCCCAAAUCCAUAAUAACCCC